UACGUAGGGUGCAAGCGUUAAUCGGAAUUACUGGGCGUAAAGCGAGCGCAGACGGUUAUUUAAGCCAGAUGUGAAAUCCCCGAGCUCAACUUGGGACGUGCAUUUGGAACUGGAUAGCUAGAGUGUGUCAGAGGGAGGUAGAAUUCCACGUGUAGCAGUGAAAUGCGUAGAGAUGUGGAGGAAUACCGAUGGCGAAGGCAGCCUCCUGGGAUAACACUGACGUUCAUGCUCGAAAGCGUGGGUAGCAAACAGG
Molecule: unclassified non-coding RNA, 253 nt
Filed under: uncultured Gammaproteobacteria bacterium
Lineage: Bacteria; Pseudomonadati; Pseudomonadota; Gammaproteobacteria
Description: contains 16S-23S intergenic spacer region
Rfam family: Bacterial small subunit ribosomal RNA
Source: RNAcentral